Trematomus bernacchii (emerald rockcod) is the source of this 691-nucleotide long non-coding RNA. RefSeq lists it as uncharacterized. NCBI's taxonomy places the organism in Eukaryota, Metazoa, Chordata, Actinopteri, Perciformes, Nototheniidae. The transcript has 7 exons. The record is from RefSeq and is a predicted model, not a curated record.
CUUCACUUCCUCCAGCGAUCAUAUCACCACAAAGUGGUGUAAUUCAUGUAAAUUUGGGCUCUCCAAAGGUGAUUGAUUGUAUAGCUCGCAUGUAUUCGGACUUUGAUGAGGUGUUCUGGUUUAGCACAGAUUCAUUAGUGGAAACAAACAGUAGCUUUCCCGUUUUCUACAAUUACACAAAUGAAAUAAAUGGUACAGAGAUAAAGAUGACGGCAUCUCUAGUUUUCAAAAAGGUGUCGGAUGAGGAUCUAUUAAAAAAUUACACCUGUAAACUGCAAACUAUUACUGGACCCUCAACAAGUGUCACCAUCAGCUUGUCCCAAAAACAAAAACCUGAACAUUCUCCAGCGAUCAUAUCACCACAAAGUGGUGUAAUUCAUGUAAAUUUGGGCUCUCCAAAGUGAAAUAAAUGGUACAGAGAUAAAGAUGACGGCAUCUCUAGUUUUCAAAAAGGUGUCAGAUGAGGAUCUAUUAAAAAAUUACACCUGUAAACUGCAAACUGUUACUGGACGCUCAACAUUUGUCACCAUUAGCUUGUCCCAAAAACAUUCCCCUUCUCAUGUUCCCCUGGCUCUUGGCAUUGUCGGCUUUGUGGUGAUGAUUUUGGCAGUAGUUGUCUAUGUGAGGUUCAAAAUGAUCAGUAUGCGUACAAAUCAGACUAUACUUAGGACAUAUUAAAAGUGCAAUUGUU